GAAUUUCCAUAAUUCGAGCCAAGUGUUCCCUAAUUCUUUUCCUUUUAAUUUAUUAUAGUUCUUUGAAUCAUCAUAUUUAUACCUUAAUUUCUUUCUUAAUGAAUAUUCUAAAUUUAUUUGAUAUUGAUUCAACUCUGUCUAAGUUUCUCUUUACUAUCUUCGUCAUUUUCACUACGAUAAUACCCUUAUCUAAGGUUUAUAACUUACAAUUCUGAUAUCAACUGCAACGCCCCCAAAAUCAGGACAAUUUCCACUCCCGACUUUGUGUAGGUAAUAUGAUUUCAUUGGAUUUGGUCCUAAGCGAAGAACACCGACAAGGCGCCGACGACAACCAGAUAAAACCAAGACGAAAAACGUACAGGAAAAUCCCAUCUGUGCCGACAGACCAUCAGAACUCAGAGACCGGCAACCAAGACCCCACCCCAUCAAAGCACAUCCAAAUCAGAAACUCCCGAAGGCAUGAGUCCCAAACAUCCCCUCUGCAGAUCAUUGCUCCUAAUUAAGUCCAUACCCACUAAGAAAUUACCCCUACUAAGCUGAACAAAAUAAGCACCCACGAUCAAUAGCCCCGAAGUUUGCAAACAAGAUCGAC
Molecule: long non-coding RNA, 592 nt
Filed under: Panax ginseng (ginseng)
Lineage: Eukaryota; Viridiplantae; Streptophyta; Magnoliopsida; Apiales; Araliaceae
Description: long non-coding RNA (PGIN_LNC008387)
Source: RNAcentral